GAUGAACGCUGGCGGCGUGCCUAAUACAUGCCAGUCGAGCGAACAGAUAAGGAGCUUGCUCCUUUGACGUUAGCGGCGGACGGGUGAGUAACACGUGGGUAACCUACCUAUAAGACUGGAAUAACUCCGGGAAACCGGGGCUAAUGCCGGAUAACAUUUAGAACCGCAUGGUUCUAAAGUGAAAGAUGGUUUUACUAUCACUUAUAGAUGGACCCGCGCCGUAUUAGCUAGUUGGUAAGGUAACGGCUUACCAAGGCAACGAUACGUAGCCGACCUGAGAGGGUGAUCGGCCACACUGGAACUGAGACACGGUCCAGACUCCUACGGGAGGCAGCAGUAGGGAAUCUUCCGCAAUGGGCGAAAGCCUGACGGAGCAACGCCGCGUGAGUGAUGAAGGUCUUCGGAUCGUAAAACUCUGUUAUUAGGGAAGAACAAAUGUGUAAGUAACUGUGCACGUCUUGACGGUACCUAAUCAGAAAGCCACGGCUAACUACGUG
This 497-nucleotide ribosomal RNA is filed under the name uncultured bacterium. RNAcentral describes it as "partial 16S ribosomal RNA". It matches the Rfam family "Bacterial small subunit ribosomal RNA", at positions 28 to 507 of the family's 1533-position model. The record is from RNAcentral.